GACGAACGCUGGCGGCGUGCCUAACACAUGCAAGUCGAGCGAGUGAAUCUCCUUCGGGAGUGAAGCUAGCGGCGGACGGGUGAGUAACACGUGGGCAACCUGCCUCAUAGAGGGGAAUAGCCUUUCGAAAGGAAGAUUAAUACCGCAUAAGAUUGUAGCUUCGCAUGAAGUAGCAAUUAAAGGAGCAAUCCGCUAUGAGAUGGGCCCGCGGCGCAUUAGCUAGUUGGUGAGGUAACGGCUCACCAAGGCGACGAUGCGUAGCCGACCUGAGAGGGUGAUCGGGCAAAUUGGGGCUGAGAAACGGCCCAGACUCCUACGGGAGGCAGCAGUGGGGAAUAUUGCACAAUGGGGGAAACCCUGAUGCAGCAACGCCGCGUGAGUGAUGACGGCCUUCGGGUUGUAAAGCUCUGUCUUCAGGGACGAUAAUGACGGUACCUGAGGAGGAAGCCACGGCUAACUACGUGCCAGCAGCCGCCGUAA
Molecule: ribosomal RNA, 480 nt
Filed under: uncultured bacterium
Lineage: Bacteria
Description: partial 16S ribosomal RNA
Rfam family: Bacterial small subunit ribosomal RNA
Source: RNAcentral